Molecule: non-coding RNA, 251 nt
Organism: Arachis ipaensis
Lineage: Eukaryota; Viridiplantae; Streptophyta; Magnoliopsida; Fabales; Fabaceae
Source: RefSeq, a predicted model, not a curated record
UCGAGUUGAGACAGAAAGGACUCUGUGAGACUUUUGGGUUAUGGAUUUGCGUUUUGAGGAUAUUGAUGCAGAAGUCACGAAGAGUUUAUUUAAUUGUUGUGGAAAUGCUCUGUGUUGCUUUAGAUUAUUAUUCAUUGUACCCUCGCCUUCAACUUGAUAUAUUUUGUCAGAGGGAUAGGGAUUGUAUUGGUUAAUGUCUGUAAUAUUAUUUAUAUAUGUAUGUAUAUAUAUGGAUGUACUCUUUAUGAGUU